This is a non-coding RNA of Cordylochernes scorpioides, 97 nucleotides long. Lineage: Eukaryota; Metazoa; Arthropoda; Arachnida; Pseudoscorpiones; Chernetidae. The record is from the annotation of a GenBank genome assembly.
ACGGCCAUACCCCAUUGGAAACACCGAUGUUAAGCAGUGUCGGGCCCAAUCAGUACUUGGGAGGGUGACCACCUGGGAACACCGGUUGCUGUAGGCU